UUCUUGAUGCUUGGGCUUCCCCUUUGAAAUUUGUGGAAUUGAUGAGAAGAUGAAAUCUUAGUGAGGUGAAGUGGAUCUUAGUGAGGAAGUGUGAAUCUUGGUGAGGUGGGAAGAAAAUAUGAGAAGGAAGGAAUUGUGGUGAGGUGAGGUUUUGGUGAAGAGGGAAGAGAAGAGAGGGAUCUGAUGGGAUUUUGGUGUGUGGCGAAAUUGAGGUUCAGAGAGAGAGAGAAUGGGUUCUAAUGGUUAAUUAAGUGAAGGCCACGUGUCAAGUGGCUAAUGGAUUAGAGGGGGGAGGGCUGCACGUGCACAGUAUAAUCUGAGUGGAAGAGAAUGAAAAGCUAGGUGCACACGUGCUGCACCAUUCCUUGAUUAAUCAAGUUAAUCAAUCAUUUGAUUAAUUAGCCUAAUUAAUAAGCAUGCGUUCUUUUCGCUAAAACUUUUCACUUUUUUUCCAUGCACUUCCGCACAUAUUAUCAGACGCACUUGAAUCUCGCUCUCUUGCUGCUUUGACUACGGUUGACCCGCAUUGGCUAUUUUGUCUUCUUUUUUUGUCGGAAACUCCAAAUUGUUCCAUUUUUGCACCACUUAUUCCGAAAUUCACAGCUC
Molecule: long non-coding RNA, 606 nt
Filed under: Rosa chinensis
Lineage: Eukaryota; Viridiplantae; Streptophyta; Magnoliopsida; Rosales; Rosaceae
Description: sRNA RchiOBHm_Chr5g0069641
Source: RNAcentral